RNAcentral lists this ribosomal RNA (484 nucleotides) under uncultured bacterium. RNAcentral describes it as "partial 16S ribosomal RNA". It matches the Rfam family "Bacterial small subunit ribosomal RNA", at positions 28 to 507 of the family's 1533-position model. The record is from RNAcentral.
AUUGAACGCUGGCGGCAUGCUUUACACAUGCAAGUCGAACGGCAGCGCGGGCUUCGGCCUGGCGGCGAGUGGCGAACGGGUGAGUAAUGCAUCGGAACGUGCCCAGUAGUGGGGGAUAGCCCGGCGAAAGCCGGAUUAAUACCGCAUACGACCUGAGGGUGAAAGCGGGGGACCGAAAGGCCUCGCGCUAUUGGAGCGGCCGAUGUCGGAUUAGCUAGUUGGUGGGGUAAAGGCUUACCAAGGCGACGAUCCGUAGCUGGUCUGCGAGGACGACCAGCCACACUGGGACUGAGACACGGCCCAGACUCCUACGGGAGGCAGCAGUGGGGAAUUUUGGACAAUGGGGGCAACCCUGAUCCAGCCAUGCCGCGUGCGGGAAGAAGGCCUUCGGGUUGUAAGCCGCUUUUGUUCGGGAAGAAAUCCUCUGGGCUAAUACCCCGGGGGGAUGACGGUACCGGAAGAAUAAGCACCGGCUAACUACGUG